RNAcentral lists this ribosomal RNA (433 nucleotides) under uncultured bacterium. RNAcentral's name for it is "partial 16S ribosomal RNA". It matches the Rfam family "Bacterial small subunit ribosomal RNA", at positions 29 to 507 of the family's 1533-position model. The record is from RNAcentral.
AACGAACGCUGGCGGCAUGCCUAACACAUGCAAGUCGAACGAGACCUUCGGGUCUAGUGGCGCACGGGUGCGUAACGCGUGGGACCCUGCCCUUAGGUUCGGAAUAACUCCCCGAAGGGGGUGCUAAUACCGGAUAAUGUCUUCGGACCAAAGAUUUAUCGCCUUUGGUUGGGCCCGCGUUGGAUUAGCUAGUUGGUAGGGUAAAAGCCUACCAAGGCGACGAUCCAUAGCUGGUCUGAGAGGAUGAUCAGCCACACUGGGACUGAGACACGGCCCAGACUCUUACGGGAGGCAGCAGUGGGUAAUACUGGACUACCGGCGAAAGCCUGAUCCACCUAUGCCGCGUGAGUGAUGUAGUCCUUAGGGUAGUAAAGCUCUUUUACCCGGGAUGAUAAUGACAGUACCGGGAGAAUAAGCUCCGGCUAACUCCGUG